RNAcentral lists this long non-coding RNA (1090 nucleotides) under Eutrema salsugineum. RNAcentral describes it as "long non-coding RNA (ESAL_LNC000092)". The record is from RNAcentral. Lineage: Eukaryota; Viridiplantae; Streptophyta; Magnoliopsida; Brassicales; Brassicaceae.
AUAGAUUUAAUCAAAUUUUAGAUUUAGUAUAAAUCAAUAAAAAAAAUAAAAACAAAAUAUUCAUAACAUACUUUAUAAAACUUUUUAAAAAUUCUUUAACGUGUUACUUAUAACUAGCUAUUAAACAUAACACUAAAUUGUUGAAGAAUUUCUUGAAUAUCAAUGAAGACGAGGAAAAUGUUUUUUUUUUAAAUAACAUGAACGGUAGGAUUCGAAGCUGCACAAGCAAAAUCCACAUGAUUUCUUUCUCUUUUUUUUUGAUCAAAACAAGACUAUUACUUCAAAAGUUAAUUUGGGUACAAUGAUAAACCCCGAAGGGCCUGUUUGGCUAUAAAAUCAGCGUUGGCACUAUCCAUUCUAGGGAUAGACUUAAACAAGCAAAUGCAAAACAAAAUGUCUGCAGUAAUUCUGUAAAUCGCAGAAGGUAUAGACUUUGAGAUUAUCGCUGAAAUCAGUAAUUGUGAAUCCGAACGGAAGAUCACUUGAUUAAAUUUCUCCGAUGCCGCAUGCAAAACUGCUGAUCGCAAUGCCAACGCUUCUGCCACAAGUACAAAUGCGACAUUAGAGAAUUUGGUACCUUUCUCCCCGAGAUGCAAACCGUUCCUUUCAAAUCUCCAACCCAAUCCAGCCUCAUGCGUUUCACUCCUCCAAGCCGCGUCCGAGGAACAGAUGAUCGAGUCAAUAGCUGGGGAGUUGCGAGCUCCUAUCGGUCGGGGUAGGAUUGGAUAUUUGAUUAUAGUCUCUUACAUUAAGUGCCAUUCCCGAGCAUCCUGCACGGCUCUCAAGACAGUUUCCGUUACCGACCACAUGAUUUCUAGUCACGCCCGAUAACCACUCAAGCAGCUUGUCCACUGUUUGUAUUAUAUUUAACUAUUUAAUUAGACAGUAUUUCUUGUGAACACAAAACAUUACGAGGAUGAGGCGCAUACACGAAACGACUACGUGAAAGAACAAACUGACAAAAAUAUUUGCUGUUUUUUUUUGGUUAAAUCUUUCUAUGUUAUUUAAAAAUUAGUUGGCACCAAACGGACAAAGUGAGACACUUACAUGAUCACGUGGAGAGAUAUUUGACGGAAAUAAUAGUUUCUUC